This is an RNA transcript of Synchiropus splendidus (mandarinfish), 8179 nucleotides long. It is a transcript of the gene named gap junction gamma-1 protein-like, with no coding region annotated. The record is from RefSeq and is a predicted model, not a curated record. The transcript has 4 exons. Lineage: Eukaryota; Metazoa; Chordata; Actinopteri; Syngnathiformes; Callionymidae.
AAACUACACUGAAGUGAGAAGUGUUGCAGGAGUUCUCGGGCUCUUCAUAAGAAGACACAAAUUAAGACAUCCUGGUUCUUGAGGCAAAAUGAGCUUCCUUACCCGCCUGUUGGAUGAGAUUUCCAACCACUCUACGUUUGUGGGCAAAAUCUUGUACGCCAUCACUGUGUUGCGUAUUGUGCUGACCGCCGUCGGUGGCGAGUCCAUCUACUACGAUGAGCAGUCCAAAUUUGUGUGCAACACGAACCAGCCCGGUUGCGAGAACGUUUGCUACGACGCCUUCGCGCCGUUUUCGCACAUCCGCUUCUGGGUGUUUCAGGUGAUCCUGAUCACCACACCCACCAUCAUGUACCUGGGUUUUGCCAUGCACAAGUUCGCCCGCAUGGACGAUGACGACUACAAGCCACGGACCAGGAAGCGCAUGCCCAUCGUCAGCAGGGGCGCCAACAGAGACUACGAGGAGGCGGAGGAUAAUGGGGAGGACGACCCCAUGAUCCUGGAGGAGAUUGAGCCAGAGAAAGACUCCACGGAAGUGGUGGAGAAGCCCUGCAAAAAGCACGAUGUCCGCCGGCGUAUCAAGCGUGACGACCUCAUGAAGGUUUACGUGUUCCAGCUGCUGUCCCGUGCCAUCUUCGAGGCCUCCUUCCUGUUUGGACAGUAUGUCCUGUACGGACUGGAGGUGAAGGCCUUUUACAUCUGCUCACGCUCCCCCUGCCCACGCGUGGUGGAUUGCUUCGUCUCACGUCCCACCGAGAAAACCAUCUUCCUCCUCAUCAUGUAUGGCGUCAGUGCGCUCUGUCUGCUUUUCACCUUGCUGGAGAUCCUUCACUUUCUCUGCACUUCCUUCUCUUCCUCUCAGCCCAACCCUCCCACUCCUUCUUCAAGGCAAAUACCUUCAGCCAGCUUCCACCUGUUCCCCCGACGAGGCUACAACUCAGGUUCCUCUGGUUCCUCCCCACAGGAGUUGAAGCAGGGAAACCUUAAAUGGACUCAGAAACCCGGCAGCCCAUCGAUGAGUGUUAGCAGAGCUAAGGAGCAGAACCGGCGCAACUCUGUUCAGGAGUACGUGUGACCAGCAGCACGACGUGAUGAAGACACCGAGGACUGCAGUGAUCAGCAGCGCAAAAGUGGUGUAGAGCCCAGCCUCAGCCUCAGCGACGGUGAGAGCCAGUCCCAGGAAGUUGACGUCACUGGGACCACUUGCUGCAGGGGAUAAGGAGUUGGGUCAUUAAACACGUGAGCCCUCUGGUGGACACUUUGUCAAUGGAAUAAUACACUUUCAAUAUAUUUCAUAGAUUUUUACAUGACAUCCAAGGUGCGAUAUAAAAAGAAAUAUUUCGUUAUUCUGAAAUAAUGUCAUGUAUGUCUCGAUAACUAUGACAGCCAUUACCUCCGGGCCCAGGGGCCAGGCAGUCGUGGGGUCCAGCUGCCGGGUCUGGAAAACCAUUGCAGCUGAUGAUAUUGGAGUAAGUGGUGACGGAGGACUUGGCCACUCUGGACAGAUUGGGAUCGGAGCGAUUCACGUAAAAAAGUCCAAAUCGUUCAGAGAAGCCGGUGGCCCACUCCAGGUUGUCCAUCAGUGACCAAGCUGUGUAACCAAGGAUGUCCACAUUGUCCAGCAGGUAAGCUGCAACACAACAAGUGACACUUGAAGACACAGACUUUAGGAAUCACUCAUCAGUGUGCGUUUCACUGCUCUCAUCAAAUUGUUGCAUUCAACUUUUUCCAUGGACUCAGGUACCUUUCAACACCUGGUUCAGGUAUUUUUCGUAGUAGUGGCUCCUGUGCACAUCGUUCAGGUCGACUGGCCCACGCUCUGAGAUCCCGUUCUCCGUGAUGAUAAUUGGGGGAUUUCCGUACUCCGUUUUAAUGAAGUUUAAUAUUUUCCGGAAUCCGAACGGCGUGACCUUCAGCCAAGAGGAGCCGGAAUCUAGCCAAGUGCGAUCUCCAAUUGUUCCCGCACCUCUGAAAAAAUAGUCAGCGUGAGCUGGAAGAUCGAUCUUCCUCUGCUGGAUUAAAACUCCCAUGCAGGGUCACUGUCUCACCUGUCGGCAUCAUAGUGCUGCAGGUCGCCGUAGUCCACAGGAAAGGCCAGGACAGUGGUGUAGUGGUUGAAGCCAAAGUAAUCGUAUGUUCCCUUAAUUCUUUUAAUCUCCUCUGGAGUGAACUCAGGAAGUCUGGAGAACAAUCAGAAUCAGUCAGUUUACAGGGCAAUUCCCAGAUUUUGUGUCUCCAAGAAACACACCGGGAUUUCUCCAGACCAGCGGCGAAGCUUCUCUCUCGAAUGAUUGUCUUCAUGGUGUCACUGUAGUCCCCGUUGAAAAUGGGGUGAGCAAACCAACCGAUGUAGAACUGCACGGAGAACAUGAGAGCUGUAAUGCGUGUGAAGAUGUUGAGACCUAAGGUGGUGUCUAAAUCACCUGCACCACACGUCUCGCUGCGUCCACAUCCUCCUGCUUGUAGGGAUUCCUGGGUUCUGACCAGUCAGAGUUGAUGGUGAUCGAGAUCAUUCCCUUCUGUGCAGCUCGGUAUACAUCGUUGUAGAGAUGCCAGGCUUCUGCGUGAGCCUUUAGCAGGUUGUGCCCAACAAUAUAGGGCAACGUACCUGGUCGGAAACUGAUGCCUGGUUUACAUGAAAAAACAAAACAAAGAGCACAAUCACAAUAACCGAAUCACCUUUGUAAGUGCAGGAGUUCCUGGUCCACUGAUCUCACUGAUGCACAAGACACGUGGCAGCGAGGAUGAUAACAACAACAACAAACAUGGAGGAAUCCCUGAGCAGAACGUAUGAAAUGGAGGCACCAGGUAAAAGUCGCAGAAUGUGUUAACCUCUGUAUGUUUUUUGAUGGUGGUACUUCCUUGUCUUUUCUUGACAAUGUGAUGUUAAAGAGGAGGAAGUUAAUACCUGGGGCUGCUGCGCCAUAGCCGUGUCCAACAUUAGCGAUAUUAUACGGCUCAUUAAUGGUGAUCCAAAGCUUCACUUUUGGGCCGAGGCGGCCGAAGAUGAAGUUGGCGUAGUCCUUGAAUUUGGCCACGAUGUUGGGAUUCUCCCAGCCACCAUCAUCCUGCAGAGCUUGUGGAAGGUCCCAAUGAUACAGAGUGACCUGGAACAGCAAACAGAAUAUAAAAACCUUCGAGGCUUUUUCAACGGCGCCUCAGGGGAAAGACCUGGUACAUACAUGUGGCUGGAUGUUCGCUUCCAGCAGUGCAUCGAUGAGCCGGUGGUAGUAGUUGAGUCCGGCCUCAUUGACAUUCCUCGUGGUGCCAUCAGGAAGGACUCGUGACCAGGAGAUGGAAAACCUAUAGUGGGUCACUUUUAACUGUUUAAGUAUGGCCACAUCCUCCUCCACCUUGUUGUAGCUGUCGCAGGCGACGUCGCCAUCGUCAUCGUUAAAAAUGCGCAGUGGUGUAUGAGCAAACUUGUCCCAGAUGCUGAGACCUUUCCCGUCUGCUCUCCAGCCACCUUCAAUCUGGAACAUUGGGUGAUUCCAGUCAAGACAUAGAAUCAAUGACAGUUCUUUUCUUGAUGGAAAGAACCUGCAAUGUUUACUCGUAAGAGCCUGCCACAUUGUCGAGCUCAAAGGAGAGCUCAUUUUUAGCUUCUGCUUGAUCUAUAUUCUGGUGGUGUAGCAUUCCCUUCAUAUUCAGAAACACUGCUACAUUUUGGUGCAAGAAAACAUUGCGUCCAAUCAAAUGCACUCAUUGGGUUCUCACAGUCUUGAAUCGGAUCUCAUACCUGGUAUGAAGCCGUGGCUGUGCUCCAGAGGAAGUCUUUAUGGAAUGAGCCAAACUGGGUCCUCUCAUCUUCUUGCAUUGGAAAGCCAUUAGCUUUAACUAUUUGAUGAUAGACGUGAGCAGAGUACUUAGGUGUUCUUGGUCUGUUUGGGUCUGAGAAGUCCACGUGGUGGAGUCCAAAUCCAACUUUGUACCCAUUAAGCCACUCAAAUGAAUCCAUGAGGGAAGUUGCCAUGUAUCCUUUGACCUUAACAUUGUCAAGCUGGAAUGCUGUUGAACCACAAAAAAAAGGUUAGGACAGAACGACCAAUGUGAAGUGGGAAUUUGACACGCAUAGCUAUGUGAAAGUCAACACACCUUUAAGAGCCUCAUCAAUAUAUGUCUUGUAAAAAAAUACCCUUGUGGUAUCAUCCACCGUGGUUUUAUCUGCUUCAGUAGCGGCUCCAUUCUCAGUGAUGUAGAUGUCAGGGUCUCCGUACUCCUCUUUUAUCCAGUUUAGCAAUCGUCUCAGACCCCAGGCCACAGCUCUCUGUUUGCUGAUGGCAGUUGCUGGGGAAUCCUUCUCCUCAGCUUCUGACAGAUCCUGGUCGGUUGUGUAUGACUGAAUGUCCAAGCGAGCUGUGACGUGACUGAUGAUCUUUGUUGUGUAGUGAUUGACACAAAACAUGUCUGCAGUUCCUCGGAUAAAGCGUUUCUCUUCCUCAGUGAAGGUCGGCAGUCUCGACUCUGGGAGACCCUGGAGUUCACUCUUGUUCCCCACCUGCCACUUCAUGGCAUCAGGGUAGUCACCGUUCUUGAAAAUAGGGUGUGCAAACCAACCGAGGUGGAACUGCAAAGCCCGGUCUGCUGCCACCACUUCACGUCGAACACUAGCGUCGACAGGUUCCACCCAGUCAGCGCUGAGGGCCAGAGACACCAGACCACCUUGUGAUUUUCGAUACUUGUCAUCGUAUGUGUGGUAGGCUUUGGCGUGAGCUUUUAUCAGGUUAUGUGCGACAGCGUAAGGUGCAACUCCAGGCUUCUUGAUGCGUGGUGGAAUCUCUCCGAGCCCGUACCCAGACCAGGCAAUGGUGUGAGGCUGGUUGAUUGUGAUCCAUAGUUUAACUCGAUCUCCAAACGUGGCGAAGCAGAAGUCACAGUAGUCAUUAAAAAUGUCAAUCAUCUUGACGUUUUCCCAGCCACCCUGGUUUUGCAGCGCUUGUGGGAGGUCCCAGUGGUAGAGCGUCACCAUGGGGGUGAUGUUGUACGCUAACAGGCCGUCGAUAAGUCUGUUGUAAAAGUCGACACCUUUCUGGUUCAGAGACGUUCUGUUACCGUCAGGAAAGAUUCUGGACCAGGACAAGGAGAACCUGUAGGACUUCACUUGGAGAGCUCGCAGCAUGUAAAGGUCCUCGUCCAGUCUGUUGUAGCUGUCGCAGGCCACAUCUCCGGUGGGAUUCCCCGGAAUACUUCCAGGUUUUUGGGUGAACUGAUCCCAGACACUCGGACCUUUCCCGUCUGUGUUCCAGCCACCUUCGAUCUGAUAAGCUGAUGAUGACACGCCCCAACUGAAGCCCUGUGGGAACGUGCCAUAAUGGUAGAGUUGUCUUUGGAACUUUGACUGGUGGGAGAACUUCUCCCACACCACUUUGGCUUUCGAGGGGACUUCUGAUGGAGGGAGUGGGGAGGAACGGCGAAAGCUCUGCGUCUGUGGGACGUUAGCGACACCAUCUUUGGCUGGUUUGAAUCCAUUUUGCUGGAUGAUCUCAGAGUAGGAAUAUGCAGACUGUCUGGGAGUCCUGGGUCUGUCAGGGUCAUCAAAGCUGACAUGAUGAAGCCCAGACUUCUCACUGUAGCCUUGCUUUCCUUCAAAUCCAUCCAUCAGCGACUGGACGGUGAACCGUCGCACGUCCACGCCGUCACGUAAUUUGGCUGGACAGAACAACAGCUUUCCAGUUAAACCAACGUUUGCAGCAGAAGUGAUUUGAGAAUCAAAGCACACUGACCUUUCAGAGCCUCGUUGAUGUAGCUCCUCAUGUACUCCACUCUGCUGGUGUCAUUGAGAGUGUCUCCAGUGGCCUCAGUGGGCAUCCCAUUCCCAGUGACAUACACUGGCACUUUCUUCACCUUCAUGUACUCCGCUGAAACAUACUUCAGAAGUCGCCUCAGACCCCAGGGAGCUGAGAAGAUCCAGUCUGAGGCUGUAGAGGGCCACGAAGGGUCCACACUUGUCUGGAGAUCUCCCACCCCUUCAGGACCCGGAGCGCAACCACCAUCUCUGUUGGUGACCAACCUGGACGUGUAGUGAUUCAGCCCGAAGAAGUCAGCAGUCCCUCUGAUCCUUUCUUUCUCUUUGGCAGUGAACACUGGCAGGACGGCAGGAGGGGCCACGCAUGCUUUCUUUUUGUCUUCAAUCUGAGUCUUCAGUGCUGCUGGAUAAUCCCCAUCCACAAAUAUGGGCCGCCUUCAACCUUGAAGGACUCGCUGGAGGUCGCCCACUGGAAGCCAGCAGGGAAAGACUCGUUCAAGAAAUCAUCUCUGUCCGUUUGAACCUGGAGCCAGACACUGUUUUCUUGCUCCUCAUUGUAGAGGGAACGAAGUUCAACUCUGGAGGGAAGAACACCUUUAAUCUUUUUGAAUGCUGCGAGGUUUGUUGUACAAAACUGUCGAUUUCCGUGGUAUUACCUUAUGGAAGGGUCCUGCACGUCUAGAUGCCCCAACAUGUUCAUCACAUCACAUCCAAUAAGCUUCACAUCCUGGUCGUUCAAGACUUUAGACACAGGAAAACAGUUGCAGUUUAGUUUGUGCAAUGAAUUUUGUGAACAGCUUUUAUUUCCUUGAAGAUUGCUUAUUUGAGAUGUUUUCACUGAUAAGGCUGCACACUCUGGUACCUGUGACUUUGCCACGUCAACAGCGCUGUAACAACCAUAAAUGUUCUCAUCACUGCAAAACCCUUUGAUGUUUAUCAUUGCUGCUUAUCAAUGAAGUGCUAUACUACUCCGUCGAACACAAUGGAAGCUCACAGGUUUGUCCCACCAUCUUUGCGGGGGCCGCUCAUUGCCAUAAUGCUUUCCCCAGCCUCCCACCCAAAACCUAACCAUCCACAUCCACCAUCCAUCCUCUGAACUAAACUUAAACCCCACUAUAAUGACCCAGGUAUUUUGACAUCUUCUUCCUCAAAUUGCAGCUUAACCCUGUAGGGCCCCACAAAGGUAAAGGCAAAUUUCCCCCCAAAGUAGUCCUCAGUAGGAGAGAUCUUGUAAUAUUGUACAUAUUGCUUUCAUGAAUGAUAACUACAAAACAAAACAAAAACCGAAUGGAAUUGUCGGAUGAUCGCUUCAGGUGCCUUUGAUAUUUUGUAUUGUUCUAUGAUGAAUGGAUCCAGUGAAUGUCUGAAUUCAUUUACAACAUUUACCUUGAAUGAAAUCACCAAGAAGCUGGUUGUCCCCGUCCGUGCAGUCAAGAGCACUCAUCUUGUAUAUCAAGAUGGACAAGCCAUCACUCAGCAGCUGAAACAUGGAGAGCUCAUUACAAUACAGAGGACUAUCAUGAACAUGUGAGCAACAAUCAAAUACCUGGAUCUUCCUUAUCUCCUCUGCCAGACUCGGUGGCGAUGCGCAGCUGUACUGCAUGUGCACUGACAGAAAAUCAGCCUAGAAUAGCAAGUUAUGACAUUAUCCAGUGGCAUUAACUAUGUUGACAUGGUAUGCUAAGCUAUAAGGCUGUUGCAUGUUUUAACCUGAAGGGGCAGUAGAGUGACAUAACGUUCAGGGUUUAUUAGAAAGAGCGCCUGUGGAUUGAAAAUAGAAAAAACCUGAACGUGAUCCAGGGUGGUUGACAGUGUUAUAGCCUCUGCUUCAGCGUCGCAAGGGACGGCAACCUUUUUUUAACAUUCCAAAUUUCUCUUUUCCUCUAAAGCACAGAUUCAACUGGUUUCUUUUUAAAUAAUAUGCUGCUUUAUGUAACUGCCAUCUGUAUUACUGCAUUGUAUUUGUGCGACCAAUGCAAAAUCUGUGUUAAUCAUUGAUAUGAAUGAGCACGCAUAGGGACAUGCUGAUGAAACAGUCAAUUCUCACUUAUCACAAGCACACAAUAAUAAUUCCUCUCAUUAAAAGAGGCGACUGAAGAGCGACUGUAACACAGCAGCAUGCAGGAGACUUACUGAAGUUGAACUUAUGAUCUGAGAGAGACUAGAAGUUGGACCCAGCUUGAACCUCAGAGACAGACGUUUACCUGCAGAGAACAAAGUGGAGAGGAACAAACUAGCGAAGGUAGCUGGGUACUGCUGAGAAUAGCUGCUGUGUUUGUUCAUCAGGAAACUACUGGACAAUGAUUGUAUUAUUUUAUUUUAUUCACUAGGAAAUGUAAACUCUGGACUGCACUCUUUUUUGUGGUAAUACCAUGAACACCCUUGCUUAAUAAACUAUAAAUAUGCAAGUACAAAUACUAUAACGUGAUGUAUACU